GUGUCAGCAGCCGCGGUAAGACGGGGGAGGCAAGCAUUGUCCGGAAUUAUUGGGCGUAAAGAACACGUAGGCGGUUUUUAAAGUCAAUUGUGAAAACCUUGGGCUCAACCCGAGGAUUGCAGUUGAUACUGGAAAACUAGAGUACAGUAGAGGAAAGUGGAAUUCCUGGUGUAGCGGUGAAAUGCGCAGAUAUCAGGAAGAACACCAGUGGCGAAAGCGGCUUUCUGGACUGUUACUGACGCUGAGGUGUGAAAGCUAGGGGAGCGAACAGGAUUAGAUACCCCCGUAGUCC
Molecule: ribosomal RNA, 292 nt
Filed under: uncultured bacterium
Lineage: Bacteria
Description: partial 16S ribosomal RNA
Rfam family: Bacterial small subunit ribosomal RNA
Source: RNAcentral